This 563-nucleotide ribosomal RNA is filed under the name uncultured bacterium. RNAcentral describes it as "bacterial SSU rRNA". It matches the Rfam family "Bacterial small subunit ribosomal RNA", at positions 28 to 625 of the family's 1533-position model. The record is from RNAcentral.
AACACGCUGGCGGCGUGCCUAACACAUGCAAGUCGAACGAGAAAGUGGAGCAAUCCAUGAGUACAGUGGCGUACGGGUGAGUAACACGUGACUAACCUACCCUCGAGUGGGGAAUAACUUCGGGAAACCGAGGCUAACACCGCAUAACAUCUACGGAUCAAAUGCGCAAGCAGCUUGAGGAGGGGGUCGCGGCUGAUUAGCUAGUUGGCGGGGUGACGGCCCACCAAGGCAAUGAUCAGUAGCCGGCCUGAGAGGGCGCACGGCCACACUGGAACUGAAACACGGUCCAGACUCCUACGGGAGGCAGCAGUGGGGAAUUUUGCGCAAUGGGGGAAACCCUGACGCAGCAACGCCGCGUGGAGGAUGAAGCCCCUUGGGGUGUAAACUCCUUUCGAUCGGGACGAUUAUGACGGUACCGGAUGAAGAAGCACCGGCUAACUCUGUGCCAGCAGCCGCGGUAAUACAGAGGGUGCAAGCGUUGUUCGGAAUUAUUGGGCGUAAAGGGUGCGUAGGCGGUGCGGUAAGUCUUCUGUGAAACCUCCGGGCUUAACUCGGAGCCUGCA